Molecule: long non-coding RNA, 150 nt
Organism: Oncorhynchus keta (chum salmon)
Lineage: Eukaryota; Metazoa; Chordata; Actinopteri; Salmoniformes; Salmonidae
Exons: 3
Source: RefSeq, a predicted model, not a curated record
GGAAAGAGAGACUGUGUGGAGAGAGAGAGAGGUGGAAAGAGAGACUGUGUGGAGAGAGAGAGAGGUGGAAAGAGAGACUGUGUGGAGAGAGAGAGAGGUGGAAAGAGAGACUGUGUGGAGAGAGAGAGGUGGAAAGAGAGACUGUGUGGA